Molecule: ribosomal RNA, 1319 nt
Filed under: Burkholderia cenocepacia
Lineage: Bacteria; Pseudomonadati; Pseudomonadota; Betaproteobacteria; Burkholderiales; Burkholderiaceae
Description: partial 23S ribosomal RNA
Rfam family: Bacterial large subunit ribosomal RNA
Source: RNAcentral
AUUCAAGGGUGUGGCGCGAGCUCCUUAGGGAGCGAAGCAAUUGGAAGUGGUUCCAAGAAAAGCCUCUAAGCUUCAGUCUAACGAUGACCGUACCGCAAACCGACACAGGUGGGCGAGAUGAGUAUUCUAAGGCGCUUGAGAGAACUCGGGAGAAGGAACUCGGCAAAUUGGUACCGUAACUUCGGGAUAAGGUACGCCCUUGUAGCUUGACCAGCCUGCGCUGGAAGGGUGAAGGGGUUGCAAUAAACUGGUGGCUGCGACUGUUUAAUAAAAACACAGCACUCUGCAAACACGAAAGUGGACGUAUAGGGUGUGACGCCUGCCCGGUGCCGGAAGAUUAAAUGAUGGGGUGCAAGCUCUUGAUUGAAGUCCCGGUAAACGGCGGCCGUAACUAUAACGGUCCUAAGGUAGCGAAAUUCCUUGUCGGGUAAGUUCCGACCUGCACGAAUGGCGUAACGAUGGCCACACUGUCUCCUCCCGAGACUCAGCGAAGUUGAAGUGUUUGUGAUGAUGCAAUCUACCCGCGGCUAGACGGAAAGACCCCAUGAACCUUUACUGUAGCUUUGCAUUGGACUUUGAACCGAUCUGUGUAGGAUAGGUGGGAGGCUAUGAAACCGGAACGCUAGUUUCGGUGGAGCCGUCCUUGAAAUACCACCCUGGUUUGUUUGAGGUUCUAACCUUGGCCCGUGAUCCGGGUCGGGGACAGUGCAUGGUAGGCAGUUUGACUGGGGCGGUCUCCUCCCAAAGCGUAACGGAGGAGUACGAAGGUACGCUAGGUACGGUCGGAAAUCGUGCUGAUAGUGCAAUGGCAUAAGCGUGCUUAACUGCGAGACCGACAAGUCGAGCAGGUGCGAAAGCAGGUCAUAGUGAUCCGGUGGUUCUGUAUGGAAGGGCCAUCGCUCAACGGAUAAAAGGUACUCUGGGGAUAACAGGCUGAUACCGCCCAAGAGUUCAUAUCGACGGCGGUGUUUGGCACCUCGAUGUCGGCUCAUCUCAUCCUGGGGCUGUAGCCGGUCCCAAGGGUAUGGCUGUUCGCCAUUUAAAGAGGUACGUGAGCUGGGUUUAAAACGUCGUGAGACAGUUUGGUCCCUAUCUGCCGUGGGCGUUGGAUAUUUGAAGGGGGCUGCUCCUAGUACGAGAGGACCGGAGUGGACGAACCUCUGGUGUACCGGUUGUCACGCCAGUGGCAUCGCCGGGUAGCUAUGUUCGGAAGAGAUAACCGCUGAAAGCAUCUAAGCGGGAAACUCGCCUUAAGAUGAGAUAUCCCUGGGGACUAGAUCCCCUUGAAGGGUCGUUCGAGACCAGGACGUUGAUAGGUC